CCUANGGGGGGCAGCAGUCGAGAAUUUUUCACAAUGGGCGCAAGCCUGAUGGAGCGACGCCGCGUGGGGGAUGAAUGGCUUCGGCCCGUAAACCCCUGUCAUUCGCGAUCAAACCUCGUUAUUUAAAAGAUGACGAGCUGAUAGUAGCGGAAGAGGAAGGGACGGCUAACUCUGUGCCAGCAGCCGCGGUAAUACAGAGGUCCCGAGCGUUGUUCGGAUUCACUGGGCGUAAAGGGUGCGUAGGUGGUGAGGUAAGUCGGAUGUGAAAUCUCGGAGCUCAACUCCGAAACUGCAUUGGAAACUACCUGGCUCGAGGGUUGGAGGGGGGACUGGAAUUCUCGGUGUAGCAGUGAAAUGCGUAGAUAUCGAGAGGAACACCAGUGGCGAAGGCGAGUCCCUGGACAACUCCUGACACUGAGGCACGAAAGCUAGGGGAGCAAACAGGAUUAGAUACCCGANUANUC
Molecule: ribosomal RNA, 464 nt
Filed under: uncultured bacterium
Lineage: Bacteria
Description: bacterial SSU rRNA
Rfam family: Bacterial small subunit ribosomal RNA
Source: RNAcentral